GAUGAAGAACGCAGCGAAACGCGAUAAGUAAUGUGAAUUGCAGAGUCCAGUGAAUCAUCGAAUCUUUGAACGCACAUUGCGCCCGCCAGCAUUCUGGCGGGCAUGCCUGUUCGAGCGUCAUUUCAACCCUCGACCUCCCCUUGGGGAGGUCGGCGUUGGGGACCGGCAGCACACCGCCGGCCCUGAAAUGGAGUGGCGGCCCGUCCGCGGCGACCUCUGCGCAGUAAUACAGCUCGCACCGGGACCCCGACGCGGCCACGCCGUAAAACACCCAACUUCUGAACGUUGACCUCGAAUCAGGUAGGACUACCCGCUGAACUUAAGCAUAUCAAUAAGCGGAGGA
RNAcentral lists this unclassified non-coding RNA (343 nucleotides) under soil metagenome. Its description in RNAcentral is "partial contains 5.8S ribosomal RNA, internal transcribed spacer 2, and large subunit ribosomal RNA". The stretch from base 1 to 120 matches the Rfam family "5.8S ribosomal RNA", at positions 35 to 154 of the family's 154-position model. The record is from RNAcentral.